CCUACGGGUGGCAGCAGUGAGGAAUAUUGGUCAAUGGGCUUACGCCUGAACCAGCCAAGUCGCGUGAGGGAAGACUGCCCUAUGGGUUGUAAACCUCUUUUGUCAGGGAGCAACGCCGGCUACGUGUAGCCGGACUGAGAGUACCUGAAGAAAAAGCAUCGGCUAACUCCGUGCCAGCAGCCGCGGUAGUACGGAGGAUGCGAGCGUUAUCCGGAUUUAUUGGGUUUAAAGGGUGCGUAGGCGGAAUGCCAAGUCAGCGGGAAAAUCGCGGGGCUCAACCUCGCUCCGCCGUUGAAACUGGCGGUCUUGAGUGGGCGAGAAGUAUGCGGAAUGCGUGGUGUAGCGGUGAAAUGCAUAGAUAUCACGCAGAACUCCGAUUGCGAAGGCAGCAUACCGGCGCCCAAAUGACGCUGAAGCACGAAAGCGUGGGUAUCGAACAGGAUUAGAUACCCUAGUAGUC
This 460-nucleotide ribosomal RNA is filed under the name uncultured bacterium. RNAcentral's name for it is "partial 16S ribosomal RNA". It matches the Rfam family "Bacterial small subunit ribosomal RNA", at positions 338 to 795 of the family's 1533-position model. The record is from RNAcentral.